GCGCUCGUAGUGUAACGGUAUCAUACAAGCUUCCCAUGCUUGUGACCCGGGUUCGACUCCCGGCGGGCAGGUU
This 73-nucleotide transfer RNA is filed under the name Perkinsus olseni. RNAcentral's name for it is "tRNA-Gly". It matches the Rfam family "tRNA". From Rfam's summary of the family: Transfer RNA (tRNA) molecules are approximately 80 nucleotides in length. Their secondary structure includes four short double-helical elements and three loops (D, anti-codon, and T loops). Further hydrogen bonds mediate the characteristic L-shaped molecular structure. tRNAs have two regions of fundamental functional importance: the anti-codon, which is responsible for specific mRNA codon recognition, and the 3' end, to which the tRNAs corresponding amino acid is attached (by aminoacyl-tRNA synthetases). tRNAs cope with the degeneracy of the genetic code in two manners: having more than one tRNA (with a specific anti-codon) for a particular amino acid; and 'wobble' base-pairing, i.e. permitting non-standard base-pairing at the 3rd anti-codon position. The record is from RNAcentral. Lineage: Eukaryota; Perkinsozoa; Perkinsida; Perkinsidae.